GAUGAAGAACGCAGCGAAAUGCGAUAAGUAAUGUGAAUUGCAGAAUUCAGUGAAUCAUCGAAUCUUUGAACGCACAUUGCGCCCGCCAGUAUUCUGGCGGGCAUGCCUGUUCGAGCGUCAUUUCAACCAUCAAGCCCCCGGCUUGUGUUGGGGACCUGCGGCUGCCGCAGGCCCUGAAAACCAGUGGCGGGCUCGCUAGUCACUCCGAGCGUAGUAAUACAUCUCGCUCAGGGCGUGCUGCGGGUUCCGGCCGUUAAACCACCUUCAUAACCCAAGGUUGACCUCGGAUCAGGUAGGAAGACCCGCUGAACUUAAGCAUAUCAAUAAGCGGAGGA
Molecule: unclassified non-coding RNA, 335 nt
Filed under: soil metagenome
Description: partial contains 5.8S ribosomal RNA, internal transcribed spacer 2, and large subunit ribosomal RNA
Rfam family: 5.8S ribosomal RNA (bases 1-120)
Source: RNAcentral